AGUAGUCGCUACUUCUGCGAUUUCUGCUACUUCUGCGAUUUCUGUGACUCCUGCGAUUUCUGCGACUUACCACCGUAUGAAAAAGUUACAUCUGUCCACACAGAAAAUUGCAUCUCAACAAACGUGUAAUUGGUACCCGAACUACAUUUCAGUCACUCAGUAAAGUGAUAACUCAAAAUAUCAUUGUCAACAGAUCUGGAGAAAUGGCCACUGCGUCUUUAGACCGUUCUCGUCAGACGAGAGACACAGUUCUGACUCUGGUUACUGGUUGCUGUACGUAUCUAUCCACAUCAAGGAUGUUGAGAGAGACUUGUGAAGAUUCAAG
Schistocerca gregaria is the source of this 325-nucleotide long non-coding RNA. RefSeq lists it as uncharacterized. The transcript is spliced from 3 exons. NCBI's taxonomy places the organism in Eukaryota, Metazoa, Arthropoda, Insecta, Orthoptera, Acrididae. The record is from RefSeq and is a predicted model, not a curated record.